AGUGAACGCUGGCGGUAGGCCUAACACAUGCAAGUCGAACGGCAGCACAGUAAGAGCUUGCUCUUACGGGUGGCGAGUGGCGGACGGUUGAGGCAUACAUCGGAAUCUACUUUUUCGUUGGGGAUAACGUAGGGAAACUUACGCUAAUACCGCAUACGACCUACGGUUGAAAUCAGGGGAUCUUCGGUUCUUGCGCGAUUGCAUGCGCCGCGGUCGGAUUAGCUAGUUUGCGGGGUAAAGGCCCACCAAUGCGACGAUCCGUAGGUGGUCUGAGUGGAUGAUCAGUGACACUGGAACUGAGACACGGUCCAGAAUCAUACGGGAGGCAGAAGUGGGGAAUAUUGGACAAUGGGCGCAAGCCUGAUCCAGCGAUAACGCGGUGGUGAAGAAGGCCUUGGGGUUGUAAAGAAUUUUUGUUGGGAAAGAAAAGCAGCAGGUUAAUACGCCGAUGUUCUGAAGGUACCCAAAGAAUAAGCACCGGCUAAAUUCGUG
Molecule: ribosomal RNA, 492 nt
Filed under: uncultured bacterium
Lineage: Bacteria
Description: partial 16S ribosomal RNA
Rfam family: Bacterial small subunit ribosomal RNA
Source: RNAcentral